Molecule: long non-coding RNA, 4922 nt
Organism: Musa acuminata AAA Group (dessert banana)
Lineage: Eukaryota; Viridiplantae; Streptophyta; Magnoliopsida; Zingiberales; Musaceae
Exons: 8
Source: RefSeq, a predicted model, not a curated record
CAGCGGGCGAAGCGACCACCCUGGGCGACAGGUUCACUUGCUCGAGCGCCUUGGAUUGGAGAUCCGCCGGGUAGUCCCGGACGCAGCCGAUGCGAGCCCCCGCGCCGGUGGUCCAUCUGCACGACAGCCGCCUCCCGAGGGAACUCAUCGUCAUCGACGGAGCACUUCUGAGAAGCAAAAGGCACGAGUGGGUUGGUUAAAUGCCCCAGGGUGGUGAACACAGUACAAUGUAUGGUCAGAUACACCUUCGCAUCACUCCACCAGAUAAGGUCGGGCUGGAGUGAUCGAACAAGGAGAGCUUACCGGACCAAGAUAGCUGAUGCACUGCUUUUGAAGCUUGCUUCUUGGGCACCUCUCCAGAUUUACUUCUCUUCCGUCUCCGACGUCCAACCUUCACAUUCGACCAAAGGAAGGAACAGACCAGACAUCAUAAUACAAAUGCAAGUUGUGCCCAUAGCGAUGCCGGGGAUCAAUCUGCACGGUGCCUGGUUGUGGAUUAGAUUACCAUAAAGCCAUCUCUCUGUGCUACCAAGGAAGAGGAUACUCACGGCUUCUAACCAAUGUUGCAGUGCUAGCUUCUGAGCCUUUUCAUCUUUGGAGAGGCCCUUACCGACCUGAGAAAAAUGGAUGCACACACACAUCAUAUUGAUUGGAUAUACAUUGGAACAAUUAUAGAGCUUAUGCGUCAUGACAUAUCAAUCCGAUCGAUUACCCUGGCUGCUCUUCUUUUCGCUCUUGCCCAUUUAGAGACUGCAGGUUCUGGCUUCUCGACGUCGAAGAACAAGAUGGAACUACGCUUGAGAGAUGCGAAAUCCAGUGCCUUCCACCUGCAAAAGGGGAUUGUUUUUCUUUUUGAGGUAAAACGAGAACAGAGAUCUUCGUCUAGUUUUUGACUUGUGCCAGGUGAAGUUGGAGACGCACCAGAGUUCCUCCACCACCACCGCACAAUCUGCUAGGUUUCUUCUGGUUCGGUAGCUCUUGUAGACCUUCUGCAGCUUGGUUGCUGCAGCGUCAAGCUCGCUCGAAGGCCGAGGGGAAGAGAGCUCGACGAGCUGUUGCGGGAGCUUCACAUGGGGCACCGCAAAGUUCAUCGGCACCUUGAGACAAGAUGGCUGCAACGUAACAUCAUCAUCAUCUGCGGCUUGUUCUCCGAUGGGAACGGAUGCGUCGAGCUUUGGUGUCUCAGGUUCCCAGUUCCUGAAGCUUAAUGAUCUCUCCGUCACGGCGUCAUCGCACGCACCAGAGACCAUCCUGUUCGACGAAUUGCUCCUUCCGAAACUGAGUGAUCUCAAGAUCCUAUUGGCCUUCUUUUCACCGAGGCUAAUGGAUCCGGCUGCAGCAAACCAAUUCCACAAGGGCACGGAGAAGGAUAAGCCCAUGGAAGUGCUGCCCCUGUUAGAUUACAAAGGUCCAACCACAAGAACCAUGUCACGGAGCAGUAAAGCCAGCAUCAUCGCAUCUCCGACAAAUAGAUCAGUAGAUGGAAGAGGCAGAAGAAAAGAGGGAGCGGAACAAGCUUAGUUCAACGUACCUAGCGGAUCACAGAAGGAACCCGACUGCUCGGAUGAGAAGAAAGCUGAGAAGGUAAGGAGGACGAUGCCACUGAGCAGUGCUCCCUUCCUGGAAUGAGCUCUGUGAAAACUCAACUUUCCAUCUCCUUCAAAGGAGAGAGAGAGAGAGCACAGCUUUUUUGAAGCCUGUGUUGGAUUAAAUUAUGGCUGCUGCAUGACUAACCAUCCCCACUACCCAACUUGCUUAGAUUUUAUAUGACCAUUUGAGAGAUGCGCUGUUGGAUUUGUUUUGCUUUCAAGGAUUGACCAUUGACUUUUUAGUGUCCACAGGAGGUAGGCGUUUCUUCCUUGCCAAAGAAAAGGAUGAUUUCAGCUCCAAGCAUACGUAAUCAGAUAAGUCCUUUUGACUAUAUAUAUAUAUAGUAUACAGCAUGAGUAUAUGUAUAAUAAGAACUCAUGCAUUCACAUGCCUUUGCUAGCAUUAAAGGAGCUCAUCAACUGGAUUCAAUGAACUAAUUUCAACUGGGCAGCUGCCCCCCUUGACUUUGAAGAGGUCUUAAGUUACUCCCACAGUACAGAAAUGGAGAGCAAACAAGAAGCCAACCUAUCUUCUCAAUAGGAGAACAAAAAGCUCAUGUGUCUGUGGGACAUGGAACGGAGGUUCCUUGAAGCUUCACGGCUGCGAGCUCUCUCGUCAAAGAACAGCAGAUCUCUCUCGGGAAAACAACAGAGUAAGACAAACAGGGAGUUGAAGACCGAGAAAAAGAUUCAACACUGGAUUACAUAUUAUAUUAUGUGGAUUGCUCGGUUCUGCACAUGCAAGCAUCCAAGAAUCGAAAGAGCAUUGCCACUCUUACUGUCUUUUUGACCCAUAUGCGGAGCUUGAAUGCAGAGUCUGCGACCGGUGAGCUCGCUCGCGAGCUUUCAGCGGCGGAAAGGAGAAGUUGACACGUAGCGUGGUCAAAUACCAUGUCUUCUUCGGACUGCAAUCCUGUGAGAGACGGGGGCAGUUGGUAGCUUUCCCCGCUGUUUCUUCUCCUUCGGUUCCGAGAAGGUCGACUGUGCAGCAGGAGUUUUCAUAUCCGGGGAAGGAGGAGGGCGGAAAGGAUCCCCCGUCCUCCACGUUACUUCUUCAAGAUCCGUGCACCAAUUGCACGACUCUUAAAGCAGAGAUGUCGAUGGUCUCCUCCCAGGUAAGCGUGACGGAAAUCCUUCCGCGUCCCCUUUUAAGAUACGUGCAUGGGCACACCGCAUUCUGUCCUUCAUGCUGCGUCGGUUGCACGAAUUUUAAAGCAGAGAUGUCGAAGGUCCUCCCCUUGAGGGAUGUAGCCAUGAAGGAUCAUGAUGAACGAGCCCUUGACAAUCGUUCUUUAGGAGUCGUGCAGACGUAACAUCACACUUAGGUGUGCAGCGUUACUCGCACGAUUUCUAAAGCAGAGAUGUCGGAAGGCCUACCCCCGGCAACGGAUGGAUGGAAAAGGUAACGGAAGUCCUUCACGCUCCUCCUUUGAGAUCCGUGCAGUAGCACACACGUCCAGUCAUUAUAAAUCCGUGCAGGGGGGACCCGAUAUAAAUGUCGAUGGUCUUCCGACGUGGGAUGCGAAUGUGAAAGAUCUUAGUAACUUUCCUGCUUUACGAUCCGUGCAGACGCACACCGCACUUCGCUAUGCCGUGUAGCUCGCACGAUGUCUGAAGCGGACACGUCGAAGGUCUUCCGACGACGUUCUUGCUCCAAGAUCCGUGCUGGGUGAUGGCACCUUGUCAAACCUCUGCACGAUUUCUAAAGCAGAGAUGUCGAAGGUCUUCCACCCGCGUUAACGUAGAAGGAUCCAAGUAAGCAAGUCCUUCACGUUUUCGCUUUAUGAUCCGCGUAGAGGCGCACCGCACUGAUGCGGUCAGUUGCACGAUUUCCAAAGCAGAGAUGCUGAAUAGCAAGUCCUUCACGUUUUCGCUUUAUGAUCCGUGCAGAGGCACACGGCACUGAUGCUGUCACUCGCGCACGUUUCCAAGCAGAGAUGGUGAAGAGCAAGUCCUACACGUUUUCGCUUUAUGAUCCGUGCAGAGCCACACCGCACAGAUACUGCCACUCGCACGGUUUACAAAGCAGAGAUGCUGAAGAGCAAGUCCUUCACGUUUUCGCUUUAUGAUCCGUGCAAAGGCACACCGCACUGAUGCUGUCACUCGCACGGUUUUCAAAGCAGAGAUGCUGAAGAGCAAGUCCUUCAUGUUUUUGCCUUAUGAUCCGUGCAGAGGCACACCGCACUGAUGCUCACUCGCACGGUUUCGAAAGCAGAUGCUGAAAGCAAGUCCUUCACGUUUUUGCCUUAUGAUCCGUGCAGAGGCGCAGCGGCACUGAUGCUGUCACUUGCACGGUUUCCGAAGCAGACAUGCUGAAGAGCUAGUCCUCCACGUUUUCGCUUUAUGAUUCGUGCCAGAGGCGCACCGGCACAGAUGCUGUCACUCGCACGAUUUCCAAAGCAGAUACGCUGAACGUCUCCCGACAACGGAAGUAAACAGGACGGAACCCGGAAGAGAAGUGCUUCACCGGGUUCCUGCUUUAACAUCCGUGCAGGGGCCAUCGCACUUCGUCAAAGGCCAUGCACGAUUUCUGAAGCAGAGAUGCCAAGCUUCUGUGGACUGGGAUCUGAUUACAGUUUAUCUAUAUUUCCAUGACUCGAUUCAUCUGCAGGUAUCAUCAAAACAUGCAAACGUUCACGGCAUUGUGCUCAUCUUCCACCUCCACGCAAGGAAAGAAACAGAUGUUCCUUAAACUAAGCUCAUCCGCUGCAUAAAGCUAAGGGUCAAAAGAAGAGAGAGAGAGAGGAGGAAAACGAUACCCCAUAUCACUUUUUGGCAACCUUAUUCCUGGCUGCUCGAACAGAUUUAGAAGACAAAGCGGCAGAGCAGGAGGCGGCAGAUCCGGCGAACGCCUUCUCGUUCUUAUCUUGGGUAAAUGCCAUGUUCAUCUCUUCCAGAAUCUCAUUGUAUCUGUUCUUUCGCUCUUCAGUGUUGAUGUGCUCCACUAUGGAUAGCCCCGACAGAUCAUCUCCCAGGAACCUGUCGAUUACCUUGGAGCACCGAGGGAAGAAAUGCAUCCCAAGUUGCACUGGACAGUAACGUUCACACAGAUCAUUUACAAAAUACAGAGUAUCAUGCUAUCGACAUGCGCUAAGAAGGUGGCUCAUCUAAAUGCCUAAGUUUCUAGAUUGAAUGACACUGCUUAAAAAUUCAAGAUGAUGUCUGAGCAAAAGUCGCAACUCGAAAUAUUGUUUAGGUCACUGACGCUUACGUAUUGAGUUUGAGUCAUAUGCAGUGUUUCAAAAAAAGCUGCCACUGUGCAUGUCUUUCAUGUCACUACUGGAGUUGUGCAGCAUGUUUCCAAUAUAAGAAAACUGAAAGAGUUGAGCAGUA